This is an RNA transcript of Mangifera indica (mango), 1824 nucleotides long. It is a transcript of the gene named 1-acylglycerol-3-phosphate O-acyltransferase-like, with no coding region annotated. The record is from RefSeq and is a predicted model, not a curated record. The transcript is spliced from 10 exons. Lineage: Eukaryota; Viridiplantae; Streptophyta; Magnoliopsida; Sapindales; Anacardiaceae.
CACCCAAAUUUUGCAAUGACAUAAAUGAAUAAGUUUGUUUCCUAUUUAUAUUAUCAAAGAAGGAAUGUUCAGGCUCACAGUCAAUAUUGUAAAUUGUAAAAUAUAGGAUUCCAAAGAUAAAUAUAUUCAGUUUUGAGAUUCUGGAAUUAGAAUUUCCAGACUUGAGGUUGAAGAAAGGAAAGGAAAGGCUGCGCUGUCGAUGGGCACGUGCCACGUAACGUCACAGCGUUGCCUCUCAAAUUUGCUAAAAUCUAGCACGGCCACCCGCCAUAACAGCGCCUUUGAGUUUCAAAACCGUUUGCUUCAGCUUCCCAGUCAAAUGAACCCACUUCGUUCUCGGAGUCGGUGGUCUCAAAAAUGGCUGAAGAAAAAAGCAAGAGCCAGCUACGAUCAUCUGCUGCUGCUGCCUCAUCAGAAAAAUCUAAAACCGCUAAAUCUAGAUGGUUUUCGCCCUCUGUUCUCCGUUGGAUCCCCACUUCCACCAAUCAUAUCAUCGCCGCCGAAAAACGUCUUCUCUCUCUAGUCAAGACUCCAUAUUUUCAAGAGAAAGUUAAUAUAGGUUCAGGUCCACCCGGGUCGAAAAUCAGGUGGUUCCGUUCUUCCAGCAAUAAGCCAAGGUUCAUCAACACGGUUACUUUUGACAGCAAGGAAGGCUUCCCCACUCUUGUAAUGAUUCAUGGAUAUGGAGCAUCUCAAGGCUUCUUCUUUCGCAAUUUUGAUGCUCUAGCUAGUCGAUUCAGGGUUAUAGCAGUUGAUCAACUGGGUUGGGGUGGAUCAAGCAGACCUGAUUUUACAUGCAAAAGCACAGAAGAAACUGAGGCAUGGUUUAUUGAUUCCUUUGAGGAAUGGCGCAAAGCCAAAAACCUUAGCAACUUCAUAUUACUUGGGCAUUCAUUUGGAGGGUAUGUUGCUGCUAAAUAUGCUCUCAAGCAUUCAGAGCACAUUCAGCACUUGAUUUUAGUUGGACCUGCUGGAUUUUCAUCAGAAUCAGAUGCUGAGGCUGAGUGGCUUACCAGGUUCAGGGCAACAUGGAAAGGAGCAAUUUUAUACAAUUUGUGGGAGAGUAAUUUUACUCCUCAGAAGAUUGUCAGAGGUUUUGGUCCUUGGGGUCCAGAUCUUGUACGCAGGUAUACUAGUAAUAGAUUUGGUGGAUACUCAUUGGAGAGCAUAUUGAAUGAAGAGGAAUCCAGAUUACUAACAGAUUAUGUAUACCAUACUUUUGCGGCCAAAGCAAGUGGAGAGCUGUGCUUGAAGUACAUAUUCUCUUUUGGUGCGUUUGCUCGGAUGCCUUUUCUACGCAGGGUCUACUGGACUGUUAUUGGCAAAAGAAUAUGUUGCGUACCUACACAGAUUACUCAAGAACAUCCCAACUUCCACAAACAAUCCAACAACAGAUUCAAAUUGCAUCAGAUUGGAAAGUGCCAACCACUUUCAUAUAUGGUGUCGACGAUUGGAUGAACUAUCAAGGUGCACAAGAAGCCCACAAGCAGAUGAAAGUUCCUUGUGAGAUCAUUAGGGUUCCCCAGGCAGGGCAUUUUGUGUUCAUAGAUAGCCCGAGUGAUUUCUAUGCAGCCAUGCUCUAUGCUUGCCGCAGGUUUCUUUCACCCAACCCUGAUAAUGAAUCUUUGCCUGAAGGUCUUUCAUUGGCCUAGAAAAUGACAUGUAACUAUCCCUGUUAUUUUGCACAAGAUAGUUACAUGAAUUAAUAGACAGAUAAACAAAUUCUUUUUGUCGAUAAUACAUUCUUUGUGCCCAUGUAGUCUCCAGUCUUGUAAAUUAAACACUGAAUGAGUGAUUUGUAAUGUUAAUGUGUAAAUUCUUUUA